UAUCUCUGUAGAGUCUGCAUAUCAAUAAGCGGAGGAAAAGAAACUAACUAGGAUUCCCUUAGUAACGGCGAGUGAAGCGGGAAGAGCUCAAAUUUGAAAUCUUCAAGGUUCUACCUUGACGAAUUGUAGUUUAAAGAAGUGUUUUCUGUUGGAGUUUUGGUAAAAGUUCUUGGAAUAGGACAUCAUAGAGGGUGAGAAUCCCGUAUUUGACCAUUACUUUCCAGCUUUGUGAUACACUUUCAAAGAGUCGGAUUGUUUGGGAAUGCAGUCCAAAAUGGGUGGUAAAUUUCAUCUAAAGCUAAAUAUUGGCGAGAGACCGAUAGCGAACAAGUACCGUGAGGGAAAGAUGAAAAGAACUUUGAAAAGAGAGUUAAACAGUACGUGAAAUUGUCAAAAGGGAAGCGUUUGACACCAGUGUUGUUUUCUCGAAAAUCAAUUAAAAAAGGCAGGAUUUUGUGUUGUAUUGACUUUAUCAGCUCUCUGCACUCUUUUCUUGUCUUUUUUAAUGCACUUUUCGUUUAACAAGUCAACAUCAAUUUCUUUUGUUGUAAAGGGUCAUUGGAAGGUGGCUUUCUUUUCGGAGAAAGUGUUUAUAGCCUUUGGCCUCUGCAAUCGGAGAGAUUGAGGUCUGCAGCGUAGAUCCUUCGGGGUUAGAUACAUUUGUGCUAAGUUAUAGCCUUUCAUAGACAACUUGUUGACUAUGAUCAGUCAUGUAGCUUACUCGCUUAUGCUAUUUUACCUACGCUUAGGAUGUUGACGAUCAGCUGAGCGCG
This 773-nucleotide ribosomal RNA is filed under the name uncultured Neocallimastigales. RNAcentral describes it as "partial large subunit ribosomal RNA". It matches the Rfam family "Eukaryotic large subunit ribosomal RNA", at positions 24 to 627 of the family's 3401-position model. Lineage: Eukaryota; Fungi; Neocallimastigomycota; Neocallimastigomycetes; Neocallimastigales. The record is from RNAcentral.